Molecule: ribosomal RNA, 381 nt
Filed under: uncultured eukaryote
Lineage: Eukaryota
Description: partial 18S ribosomal RNA
Rfam family: Eukaryotic small subunit ribosomal RNA
Source: RNAcentral
CAAUAGCGUAUAUUAAAGUUGUUGCGGUAAAAAAGCUCGUAGUUGGAUUUCUACCGAAGAUAGCCGGUCGGGUCUUCGACCUUGUAUCUGGUUUUGUCUUUGGUCUCCUCAUAGGGAACGUUUCUGCGCUUUAUUGCGUGGUGCGGUAUCUAUGACUUUUACUUUGAGGAAAUUAGAGUGUUCACGGCAGGCAAACGCCUUGAAUAUAUUAGCAUGGAAUAAUAACAUAGGAUCUUCGUCCUAUUUUGUUGGUUUCUAGGGCUAAGAUAAUGAUUAAUAGGGAUAAUUGGGGGCAUCUGUAUCAACGCGUCAGAGGUGGAAUUCUUGGAUUGCGUUGCGACAAACUACUGCGAAAGCAUUUGCCAAGGAUGUUUUCAUUGA